GGCUCCCUUCUGUCAGCUGGUGACAGAAUUGGUGGCCACAGACUGACCAAUGGUCUGAUUGUUGAGCUCAAAGUGAGCAUGUCAAGGUUUUGUGUAUGGAACCCAAAAAUGCAGAACUUGCACUAGCAAAAUAAUAAACAAAAGUCCAAACAAACAAAUUAAAUAGGGCAAGGCAAAGGCAGAGUCAGGCAAUCCCAGGUUCAAAGUCCAGGCAGCAAAGGUUCAGUAAGGGUGAGGCAAUCCAAGGUCAGGGAACAGAUAGUUGGAAAACAGGUAACACAGGUAACAGUAGGAUAUAGCACAGAACAACUGAGCAACAAAGACUCAGGUGUUCCAGGUUUAAAAAGGCAGCCAGAUUGAAAGCCC
Pelobates cultripes (western spadefoot toad) is the source of this 366-nucleotide non-coding RNA. NCBI's taxonomy places the organism in Eukaryota, Metazoa, Chordata, Amphibia, Anura, Pelobatidae. The record is from the annotation of a GenBank genome assembly.